UUCAAAGCAAGUUUUAAUGGGAAGUGAUGAGUGGUCAUCGCUCGCAAUUAAACAUGCGAGAUGGGGUGUCUGCCUAAAGCUUUACGACAAUUAGGCACCUCCAAUUCUUUACCGUCUGAUCCCUAUUUUAUUAUUAUUAUUAUAUAGUUUUUACUUGUAUGAUUUUUUUUUAUUCGAAAAAUUUAAUAGUUCUGUUUAUGUUUUUUAAAGAUUUAUUUUUGUACUUCAUAAAUUUUAUACGAACUAGUUUGGUAUUUCCUUUUGAAAAGGAUCCGAUUUUUUUAUUAAAAUAAUAUCACUAUUAAUGAAAUAACAUUUUUUUUAGAACUUAUGUUAUUUCGUAUAUUACCAAAUUUUUUUUUUGCUAAAUAAACGAUUAUUUUAUAAUAAACAAUGAAAUAUAUGAGUAACGAUUAUUUUAUAAUAGAUAAUGAAAUAUAUGAUAUACCCCUUUUCAAUUAUUUUAUAAUAGAAUGAAAUAUAUGAUAUACCCCUUUUCGUUAGUAUGGUUAUUCGGUCGAUGGUUUCCUACAUGCAACUUGUUUACAUAAACAAAAACUUGAUCUAGGUCGCAUCAUGGUAUUGAUCUUAAAUGCUUAAGUCAUGACAAUAUUGCAUUUUUUAGUAUGGAUUGAUGAUGAAGAAAAUAGUGACCCUUUACCUUAGGUCAUGCUCUGUUUUUAUAUAACUUAUUAGGAGAUCGGGUCCAUUGUUUUACCCGAUCCCUUAUAGGACUCUAUUAACUAUAAGAUAUACAUUGUACUUUUAAGAUUAGUUUAUGUCUCGUAAUUGUACAUUUAUUUUCAUAGAAUGCACUUUUUGAGAUAUGUUAUCUUAGGGUUCUUGACCAAUAGUUAUGUGAUGGUCUUAAUGGUGUUCAACAAUUCAGGGUGUAAGCUUUUAUCAUGCCAAGGUUCGAUGUUAGUAUUUUAUGAAGACAUCGACUUGAGCACACCAUUAAUCCCCCAUAGUCCAAAGGAUAAAAAUAGUCCAUGAAAAUUUGUCUUUGGACUUGAUUGUGGUAGCAAACGAGGAGUCGUCUGUGAGUAAAUUGCAUAUAUUAGUUGUUGUCAUUAGUCACAUAUGUAUAUUCUUCAUUAACAACAUUUAAUGCUUGAGCAACCCUUUUUAACCUUUGUUAAUGGCUUGUUUAGACCGCCGUUCAUUGUACUUUUGACAGUUCUUUCAUAACUUACUUGCAUGACCGUGUUAAUGUCGUCAGUUCGUUAUGAGGUCAACACUUGGAUGCUAGACCAGUAUGUCGACGUAUGUAACAGAUAAAUAUAUAACCAACAAACAAAUAAUCAUGCAGAUCUAAUAGAUCACUACAACAUAGCAACAACAUAUAUACCAGGAUACAUAACCUAAUGGGCCGACAUUGAUGCCUUCACCCACAAGUACAGUGAGGAAACUCACCUCACACUCUGAACAUAUAGCAAAAAAGAACGUUGCUCCAAAUGCAAAUUCUACAUGUUACCUAUACUACAAACAAUAACCUAAGCUCAAACUACAACUUAAAACACCCAAAAUGCCCCUAUGUCACACUUGGUCAAACUUCGGGUUAAAGGUCAAAGUCAAAAAGUCAAGGAAAAUCAAACUAACAGAGUACACCCUGCGUACUCCGUUACUACGUUGGGUGUAGUCGCAACUCAUCUAAACCACGAGACUCUAACCCAAUACGUGCAACGUACCUCUUGGUAUGCCCAACAUACUUCGUCUGGACCCAAUCCUUCUUAUUAAGUGCUCAUUCCUUAAGGACUUUUCACCCAAAUUAAGAUCUAGACCCAAAACAUCAUUCUAAGUCAUAAAUUUUCCACCUUUUCGACUUUCCAUGGCUAGAAAAGGUCAAAGAGCUAAAAUCCUAACUUAUUAUUCCAUUAAAAAAUCAUAACUCUUGUAUGGAAGGGAUAGAAGGAUAAAGAUCACAUUUUUUUUUGGUUCCUAACACCUAAAAACGUCUAAAAGGACAACUCUUAUGUUUAGAGUAAUCCAUACUAAUGAACACCAAGCUUAUGGGACCAAAAUGAACACAAACUCAAGGCUAACAAGAUCCAAGAAAAUAACUCAUAAAGUUUCAAACUUUAUACCUCCAAGAUGAUUUCACUUCCUUCUUCUUCCUUCAAGAACACCAGAAAUGCACUUUCAAGCUUAAAAAUGCUCACACAAUGGAUAUGGGUUUGCAAAGGACGAUUUGGGAGAUGGAGGUUGAUGAGGGAAAGGGUUCGAGGGGAUAAGAAUGCUUAAAUAAGGCUUAAACCCUAAAAAUUAAGGUUUUCUCGUUUGUUACAUACACCCGACAUAAUCGUGAAUACGCACAACAUACUCACAUGAGGCGUGACAUUCAUUAACGUGCCAUGGGGACCAAUUUGCAACAAAUUUUCGCUUUGGGUCAAAAAUAUAAAUUUACCUGAACAAUGAUUCUUACAACGAUCUUCCUAAUACUAAUAGUUUGAUUCUUACAACGAUCUUCCUGAUACUAAUAGUGGAUAAAAGAUCAUCCGACACAACUUUAUCAUAAUGUUGUGUCAAAGGUGGAUGCGUCUAUUAUUUGUCUAGGGAAGAAAGUGAGUGAAUCUGAACUGUUCGAUGACUGAACCGAGAGUACCUUACUUUGCACAUUUAGAGAUCAGUUUUAAUUUAUAAAGUUCUAACCUUUUUGUCAAAUCUUUGUUCAAAUAUUUUUGUGACAAUUACAAGUAAUCCAUUUUUCAUUUACUAUUUUGACACAAAGUUUGACCAUGAACUCCCCAUGGAUUCAAUCCUUACUUACCCUGUCUAUCUAAUGGUUUUUGUGGUUAUUUUUUAUUGAGACAACGACCUCGAACACUGCCACGUGUCCAUUUUUUGUGGCACCACAUGUCGCAAUCGUGUUGGUCCAUAUCGGUAUGUUGUUCGCCUUCUAGAACACUGCCACAUGUCCAUUUUUCAUGGCGCCACGUGUCACUUUCUUAUUCGGCCACAUCACUCGGUCACCCGGAGGAGUCGGAUACUGGACAAGGCAGUCCGGCGUGUUCUCGGAAUGCCACGUCAUCAGACCAGCGUUUUCCUGAAAUCUUCAAACGGUCAUAACUGUCACAUACGAGCUCCGUUUUUUAUGUUCUUUAUAUUCCUGGAAUUCUCUCGAUGAGCUCUACCACUUCCCUUUAUACCUCAACAACUAAUUCUCACUCUAUUUUAAAUUCAUAUUUUUAGACAGAUUGAACUGUUAAAGUCUAUACGAAAAUCAUAAACCCUUCAUACGAACUCCUUUCUCGACUUUUUUUAUAUUUAUGGGUUCAUAUUUAUGUGAUAUUUAACUCUCGUUUACAUUGUUUUGGCUAACCAUCAACCAAUUUUAAUGUCGCUUUCAGUGUCACGCUCUGUUGUACUUAAACUUCGAAAAAUCAUCACUUCCUUAUACAAAGUCAGAUUUUGACAUUCUUUAUAUGUACACUAUCUAUUUUUACGACUAAUAAGCAACCUAUCUCUGGUUCGAAUUUUACGAUGUAGUUUUUCGUAUAGGUUUGAACGCAAAACUUCGAACAAUCAUAACUUCUUUAUACGAAGUCAGAUUUGAGUGUUCCUUAUAUCUAUGGAAUCAUCAUCGAGACAUUAUUUUUAUCCUAAAUAAUCAUCUAUCAAAAUUGUUAUUUUUAUCGCUUAGUAAUAAAAGGUUAAUAUAGUUCGUAACGCGUAAAACUAACAAAUAAUAAAAUGAAUAUUUAUUUAUAAUAAUCACUUAAAUAAUCUAGCCCUAACUUAUGGGCGUUACAAUUCUCCCCACUUAGGAUGAUCCGUCCCGAAAUCAAACAAUAGCAAAACAACUAUGGGUAAUGAAUCUUAAACAAAUAUUUGUUUGUGUAUCGCAUACCCACAGUACUAAAUCCACUAAUUUAUUGGACUGAUAUUCAUCAUGGUAUCCUAGGUUCUUUUAUGACAACUUAUCAACAUGUCGACACAGUUUCAUCAUCAAAACAUCAACUUGGUUUUUUUAAAAUCUUACUAUAACCCAAAAUACUCUUUUUCAAUGAAUCUCCUCACACGACUAAUCCCUUAUCACUAAAGAUCAAAGUUCACGAUCUUUACGAAUCUGUAUUUCCUUCGAGUUACAACUCAGUCUUCAUCCGAGGCUCGUGCUCCUUCUCAAUUUGGGUCAUAGACUUAACCCUAUAUAAGGUCUUUACUUUGGAAUAGUAACAAACCAAAUGGUCACACUCUAAUGGUAUUCCAUUGCACAACACAACAUAUGUAUAAUCAAACUAGACUCAUGUUUCUAUGAGUCAAACUCUUAUCACGAAAAACACCUUCCUUCAUGUUCUAAUGUGUUACAACCACAUUGUAGCAAGUAACAUUUCUAGUUACUAUCUACCUAACUCUAACGAAUGUUGCAAUACUUCUUUCGAUCAUCUCGCUCAUUUCCUUCUUCAAUCCCCCGACUAAAGUCGGUUAUUACACAUGGCGUGGCUCUUUAAACCGGUCAAUUAACUUCUCAAACUUAUAUAAAUCUUACUCGAUUCGUUAUGACCACUAGGGUCUGAAUAAAAGUCAUUUUCCUAGUCAUCACCAUACCACAUGUAAUGAUGGAAACAUACAAAACAAACUCAACUACUAGUGCCUUAGUAACCUUGUGACUCUAUUUGAUCCAAGUGUGAGUCUUGUGUUGUGGGUAGUAUAGACCUCUACUACCUUCCACACAUAUUCAUACUCGUUCCAAGAAUUUUCUGGUAGUCUCCAAUUCACUAUAUCACUAAGCAACUAAUCACACAAAAGUGUUUUCAAACAAGUACAUACAAUAAUUUCUCCUAUAAUCAACUAGGGAUUUUACAUAUCUAUCAAGCACAUCUUGGCUUUCCCAUACUUGCCUUUUAGGAUCCUUCUCAUGCAUAUGUCUGAUCUAGCAUGUUCUAAUACUUUUCCUAGGUCACUAGUAAUUUUCACUUCCAAGCUCUUCAUAUAAAUUCUUUCUCGAGUGUUGUCUAGUCUACAAGGUACACUAUAGUAGAAUUUAUUCUAGCGGUAUGGAGAAAAACACUCUCUAACUACUUGUAUCAUCUUUUAACUCAUGCAAGUCACCAUACAUAUCAUUCUAUUUCUUCAUUUCAUAAUCCUUCCAUGACAUCGUUUGUAACACUCGGUUUUGAAAGUGUUUCGUUGCUCGGGGUUACGGCCCAAUCAUCAAUUGUCAUAAGGAUUAGGGCCUUAGGAGAGGAAGGAUUUGGCCCACUUCGGAUGUGGGUAUCAUGGUAUAAGUGGUCCAAGUAUUCGAUUGUGCCUUCAGAAGCCAAGGGUAUAAUCGUAAUUUGAUAUCCCGGUCUUUUGUGGGUUUUGGAUUUUUUUCAGGAGGUUUUAUGGCUUGGGUGUGUUGUUAGGAGCGUAAGGCUUCUCGCCACCUUUUCGUGGAUAUAAGGAUCAUCGAAAUCAGAGUUAUACCGAGAGAGUUAUGGUUUUCGGAAGAAUUAGGGUUUGGGGAAAACCCUAGUACGCAGGGCGUACCAUGGAGGUACGCAAGGCGUACUUAUAUGAGACAGGUUAUGUAGGGCAUAACAUUGAUACGCGCAGAGUAGGCGCGAGGGUUAGGUCGGGGUGCGAGACCUCGUACAUUGGGCGUACGAGGUGGUAUGCGGGGGAUACAGUCAGAUCUUGAAAACCCUAAUUAUAGGGAUGAGAGAUAUAUAAAGAGCAUGAUGUCCUUAAAGAUCAGCCUCCCUCUCACCCUUAGACAACUUUCACGAAACCCUAAUCCCUCCUUGUGUGUUCUUGGAGCUUAUAAGGCCAUUAGAAGAGCAUGUUGGUGUUUUUGAAGAAGGUGUUCACUCUUGAAGAUUUAUUGGAGAAGAUUGAGCUUUUAGAUCCAACACCUCAUCAGCUUUUGGCUCUCAUUUGAGGUAUAAAGUCUUGAACUUGGUGGUUAUUCUCUUAGGUCUCUUUUAGAUUGGGUUUAUAGACUCUUUUGAUCCCAUGGAUGAAGUCCCUUGUGUCCAUGUCGUUUUGGAACUUAGAGUUUCCACUCUCAAUGUUAUUUGAGUUCAAGAAUCAUAAAGUUGCCAUUUUUGGGGUUGAAAUCCACCCAUGCAUGAGUUAAGGUCACUUUCAUGGAAGUAGAAUGCCAUUUUUGGAGUUUUGGAAUAUUUGGGACAUGCUAAGUCACCAAGUCAGUGACUCUAUAAGUCAAGACGUUAAGUAGAGCUCAUAUCUGUGAUUUGGUCCCUUGGUUUGAAGCAUUAAGUGCUUAAUAGAAAAACGGAAUUAACAUAGGAGUACGUUGGGCGUACAGGCUGGUACGCACAACGUACUUGUCACAAACCCAGUACGCGUUGCGUACAAUUGAGUACGCCUUACAUACUCAGUUAGAGUGGGCUUCGCACAUGUGGGCUUCGGUUUAGGCCAUUCAUUGGACUUUACUACUUUGGGCCUUUGUAGGUCAUUAGAAAUCAGAUAUUUUAGGCUAAGAAUAUGUUUGGGAUUUAGGAUAAGGCCCAUUAGAGGGGUUGGGCCCAAUUUAGAAGAUUGGGCCAUUAGUGGGCCACUAGUGGACUUAGAAAUGCUAACUAGUAAUUGGGCCUUUAUGUGUGGAUUUGGGCCUUAGUUGUGAAUCUUGUUGGGCCAGGGGUAAAAUGGUCAUUUUACCCCCAAGUAUGGAUUAUGGAUCAUGGUUUGGGACCUGAUGGCUAAUUGGGUGAUAUUUUGGUAUUGAUAGCUGGAGGAAUUGUCAGGGCACCAACUAAGGAUUUCGUGCAGUGAGCUUCAACAUUCGAGGUGAGUUUCCUCCUGUUUGAACGGCUUGAAGGCACAAAUGCCAGCCUGUAUUUAUGAUUGUAUGUUUUCUGGACUAAGGUCCGAUGUCGGGCGGUGCCCGAUGUAUGUUUAUAUGUUUUCCGGAUUACGAUCCGAUGUUGGGCGGUGCCCAAGGAAUGUUGGUAUGCUUGAUGUCUUCAUGAUUCUUGCAUGUGUCUAUAUUUGUAUGUUUUCGGAUUACAGUCAGAUGUCGGGCGAUGCUCGAGGAAUGUUUGUAUGCUUUUCGGAUAACGGUUCGAUGUUGGAUGGGGCCCGAUGAAUGUUUAUAUGUAUGUUUCCAGACUAUAGUUCAAUGCCAGGUGGCACCCGAUGACUAUGUGCAUGUUUAGUUUACCUGUUAUUUAUGUGAUGAUACUUGUAUGUGCCUGGUUAGGGAAGUGAGUAUGGAGGGGGUCCCUGCGCACUACCCGAAACCGAACCGACUUGGUAGAAAAAACCGAACCGAACCGAACCGUGUGAAGACAGGUAACCACAGUUCGGUUCACGGAUACCCACUAAAUAUAAACGUCAAAUUCAAACAAAACUACAAACUCUAUUUCAAACUUUUUUUUUUUUUUUUUUUUAUCAAAAUAAGCAAGGUAGACUUCAAAAACAUGAUGACGUCAAAUAAUAUUCAUUAUAAUAUUUAUAAUAACUAUUAUAAUAAAAAUAACACGAAAACAUGAUGAAUGUGAAAAUGGAAACUGAAAAUUGGCAAUGGCCAUUACCGGAUCAUGCUUAAGGAUAAAUUUUGUCAUGUCAACCAUCCUAACCAUCAAAAAGUAUUAUAUAUCGUGACUAAAAAAUAUUACAAGCAUACAAUUAAGAUCUUUAAUAUUUUUAUUAUGUUUUAUAUUUAUACUAAUAAUAUACAUCAUUAUUAUUUAUUUAUUUGUUUAUUUGUUUAUUGAAUAUUCACUUUCUCUUCGUGACUAAAAAAUAUUACAAAAAAUAUUACAGGCAUACAAUUAAGAUCUUUAAUAUUUUUAUUAUGUUUUAUAUCUAUACUAAUAAUAUUNNNNNNNNNNNNNNNNNNNNNNNNNNNNNNNNNNNNNNNNNNNNNNNNNNNNNNNNNNNNNNNNNNNNNNNNNNNNNNNNNNNNNNNNNNNNNNNNNNNNNNNNNNNNNNNNNNNNNNNNNNNNNNNNNNNNNNNNNNNNNNNNNNNNNNNNNNNNNNNNNNNNNNNNNNNNNNNNNNNNNNNNNNNNNNNNNNNNNNNNNNNNNNNNNNNNNNNNNNNNNNNNNNNNNNNNNNNNNNNNNNNNNNNNNNNNNNNNNNNNNNNNNNNNNNNNNNNNNNGAUCGGCUCGGGUUUUCGGUUUUGCGGUUUUUUUGAACACCCCUAGGUAAGACGGUAACAAACCUUAAACUUCUUCAAGUAAUAGCAGUUUUGGUAAGCAACCUAAAGCAUGCUAUAUUAUUUAUCAAUCAACACAUAUUAGCAUAUAAGGCAUCUCUCCUAAUAUGCUACUACACAUCAUAUCGAUUAAGGUAUUAAACCUAAGGUAUGUUAUAAAAUAAUUUUCAUGAGCACAUAAUCUUAAUUAUGGUCAACGCCUUAAGGUAUUCUAGUACUAUUUAGAUAUACAACCUAAUAUACACAACCUAAGAUAUACUAGACACACGUCUUAUCAUCAUCGCUUAUCACUCUAAGUUUAAGUCUUGAAAUCCUCAUAAUUCCUAGAUCGCUUAAACUAAUGCCCUGAUACCAAUUGUAACAUCCCUAAUUUUCAAAACAAAACAAAAUUUUUUUUUUGCGCUUUCAAAAAUCAUUUUUUUUCGCAGAAAAUUCGAGUAAGGCACAACAUUUUGAGUACUAAUAAAUGUCUCAAAAUAAUAAAACUUUAAGGAUGUCAUAAUCAAUACACAUCAUGUGUUAAAGCGUAAAAACCUAAUGGUCUUGAACAUUAUUGUAGGUAUCAGUGGCGGAGCCAGGGUCAAAGUAAGUUCGGUUUCUCGGUUUUCCAAACUCGGUUUCGGGUUUAAACCUAAACCCAUUCGAAAGUUUAACUUUUGAGAAUUGAGAAGCUUGUCUUGCUUAUAUAACAUAUGUGUAUGAUCCAUGUUUCAUGUUAUGAUUGAUGUGAGACAUUUUUAUAAUUAAAAAAAACAAGUUGAAAAACUGAUAAACAAAAUAAAAUAGGAACCUUAAAGUUAAAAGUUCAACGUUUUACCACUUUGACAACACAAUAUUUGUGUUUAACUUUCACAACAUCAUAAUAUAAUAGGUAUAAUCCGUAUUAAGCUAUAUAAAAGAAACUGUGAAAAUGAAAGAAAAUAAAUAUUUAUAAGAAAAUAUGAACUUGCAACCUCCCGAAAUACAUCCUAACACCUUAACCGUCUAAACCAACUACAACUUAUGUAAUUAUCUCGCUAAACAUAUUAAUAUUAUGUAUAUAUACACUACAUAAAACGGGUUUUUUCUAAAAAAAUUAUAGUACUAAAUUUUUUUGAGAGGCAUCCUGAUAUCUAUUGUGGAUCCACCCCUGCUACGUAUUAUAGGAUGAUUUAUUUCUUUUGUUUUUUCUCGUAUUUGGUAUUUUUGUAUUGAUACGUUGUCAAAAUUAGAAUCUCUUAGAUUCAUCAUAUGAAAGUUACGUUAUUUGAGAGUAAUAUCGUCGACUUGUCAUUUUAAUCAUUAAAAUAUAAAAUAAAAAAAAACUUAAAAUAAAAAAAAAAUUAAGAGCCUAUUUAAUGCUCUUUUUAAAUUUAUUAAGAAAUGCGUUUUUCAUGUUUAAAAAGUUAUCUCUUUUUACGACCUUAAUAAAAAACUAUUUUUAAAUCUGCGUGGACUUUUGUAUGAGAUAAAAUAUAAAGGCAGUAAUCGAUUCAAAAUGCUAUUAGGGCCCAUGAUUUGAAAAAAAUAUUUUCAAAUCUGCAUUGAGUUGAGACCCAAAUCACUAUAAAGGCCCAAUUCAUGGGCCCAUUAGUUGAGAGUUCAUGCGAGUCUUAAAUUAUGUUAAAUUCCAAAAUACAGUCUGUGUUUAUUACAUUAUAGAAUUUGUCUCAGUAUAAAAAAUGUCAUAAUAAAUUGAAUCCAAUAAGCAACAAAUAUGUCAUCUAAAAUUAGUCAAUUUAAAAUACUACCGUUUUUGGACAAAAAUGUAAAACUUGGAAUACUUAAAUAUCAACAUCAUUGACUUUCAAUGACUUGAUAAUAUUGAAUGUGAAAAUAUUAUAAAACAUCAUUGAAAUUAUUGGUAAUAACUGAUUUUUAACAUAUGAAUGACGUUUUAAUGUUUAAUUUCAAAAUGAUACUAAAUUCAGCAAAGUCAAAUGUUUUAAAACAAUAUCAUUGUCAAAUAAUUAAACUGUUAAAGGAACUUUAAAUCUGAAAACAUAACAACGAAAUAGCCUUUAUUUUACUCAAAAAACAUUUGUUAUAUUUAGAUUUAUUCACAUGUGUGUUUGACAUGAAGUUUUUAUCUUUUAAAAAUGUAGAAAAAAAAAGUUUCGUUUGUCACAAGAAUUUAUUAUUAUUAUUAUUUUUAUUUUUUUAAACUCUAAGUCUAAAAACUACUUCAAAUAUAUCUUUGGAGUUUUUAACUUUUAGUUUUAACUAAAUUGACACAUCUAAAGCAAAUAGCUACUUUCCCAAACCCUCUUAUGUAUAUAAGAGACAUAACUUUCAGCUAACAACAACUAUCUAAUUUUACCAAACAUGACGUAGUUUAAACUUUAAGAAUGAAACAUUUUUUGGAACAUGGUGAUUUCUUUAAAUAAAAGGUUUGUAUCCUUUGUAGUGUGUGCAUAAUUUAGUUUCUUACGAGCAAUAUUUUUACGUAAAUUUUACUGUAUUCCUUUUACAUUUUAGUAAUAAUAAUACUUUGAUUUUUAGUAAUAAUAAUACUUUGAUUCACAUAUAGAGAUAAUUAUAUAUUUUUCUGAUCUUAUGCCAAGAGAACAAAAAUAGUUCUAACUUUAUAGCCACAUUCAUGGCAAAUAUUAAAUUGCAACAAACAACUCAACACAAACAUUAUCACUUCCUUCUUAAUAAUUGAAGGUUUUUUUACCGCAUGUCAAUCUCUCGUUACUUUUGACAUUUGUUAUUUUUGUGGUAUUUUUGAAAAAAAUAUUAUCUACUUGUCAAUUUUUGGUUUGUUUUAAUUUUUAAAAUUAAAGUCAUUUACUAUAUAUGCAAAGUAUUAAAUAUCAUAUAUAUGAUAUUAAAUUGCAAUAAAUACAUUUCUUUCUUUUUUAUUUUAAAAUUAUACAUUAAAAAAUAUUAAUAAUUUACAUUUUAAUGUUUGAUUUUUUUUAAAUCAACACGUGUAAUACACGGGUCUCACACCUAGUAAAAUAAUAUAUAUGAUUUAGAAUUAAGAUUAUGAAUAUUAUGACUAUNNNNNNNNNNNNNNNNNNNNNNNNNNNNNNNNNNNNNNNNNNNNNNNNNNNNNNNNNNNNNNNNNNNNNACAUAGGAAAACAUAAAUAUAUAAUAAAUGUAAUUGGUCCCAUAUCGAAGACGGGAGAGAAAUAGUAAUGUGGGGAGUGGCUAUAAAAGGGAGGUUAAGGGAAAUGGAAAAGGCAUGAUCCUUCAAAGCAAGUUUUAAUGGGAAGUGAUGAGUGGUCAUCGCUCGCAAUUAAACAUGCGAGAUGGGGUGUCUGCCUAAAGCUUUACGACAAUUAGGCACCUCCAAUUCGUAACCAUCUGAUCCCUAUUUUAUUAUAGUUUCAAAUUUUAUUUAAUUUCAUUUCUAACUUUUUUUUAAUGUAUAAACUAAGUUUCUUUCAUUCAAACCCAACACAUUUUUUUUAUUAAGACUUGUUUUCUUUUCUUUUACUUAUAUAAAUAGGGCUAUA
This 11550-nucleotide long non-coding RNA is filed under the name Lactuca sativa (garden lettuce). RNAcentral describes it as "long non-coding RNA (LSAT_LNC007954)". The stretch from base 11302 to 11406 matches the Rfam family "Small nucleolar RNA Z279/snoR105/snoR108". The record is from RNAcentral. Lineage: Eukaryota; Viridiplantae; Streptophyta; Magnoliopsida; Asterales; Asteraceae.